GCCGUUGUAGCUCAGUUGGUAGAGCACGUCAUUGGUAAUGACGAGGUCGGCGGUUCAAUCCCGCCCAACGGCU
RNAcentral lists this transfer RNA (73 nucleotides) under bacterium. Its description in RNAcentral is "tRNA-Thr". It matches the Rfam family "tRNA". Rfam says of the family: Transfer RNA (tRNA) molecules are approximately 80 nucleotides in length. Their secondary structure includes four short double-helical elements and three loops (D, anti-codon, and T loops). Further hydrogen bonds mediate the characteristic L-shaped molecular structure. tRNAs have two regions of fundamental functional importance: the anti-codon, which is responsible for specific mRNA codon recognition, and the 3' end, to which the tRNAs corresponding amino acid is attached (by aminoacyl-tRNA synthetases). tRNAs cope with the degeneracy of the genetic code in two manners: having more than one tRNA (with a specific anti-codon) for a particular amino acid; and 'wobble' base-pairing, i.e. permitting non-standard base-pairing at the 3rd anti-codon position. The record is from RNAcentral.